UACGGAGGGGGCUAGCGUUGUUCGGAAUUACUGGGCGUAAAGCGCACGUAGGCGGCUUUGUAAGUUAGAGGUGAAAGCCUGGAGCUCAACUCCAGAAUUGCCUUUGAUACUGCAUGGCUUGAAUCCGGGAGAGGUGAGUGGAAUUCCGAGUGUAGAGGUGAAAUUCGUAGAUAUUCGGAAGAACACCAGUGGCGAAGGCGGCUCACUGGACCGGCAUUGACGCUGAGGUGCGAAAGCGUGGGGAGCAAACAGG
This 253-nucleotide ribosomal RNA is filed under the name uncultured bacterium. Its description in RNAcentral is "partial 16S ribosomal RNA". It matches the Rfam family "Bacterial small subunit ribosomal RNA", at positions 524 to 776 of the family's 1533-position model. The record is from RNAcentral. RNAcentral also lists the same sequence under 1 other name.